GAUGAACGCUGGCGGCGUGCCUAAUACAUGCAAGUCGAACGCUUCACUUCGGUGAAGAGUGGCGAACGGGUGAGUAAUACAUAAGUAACCUGGCAUCUACAGGGGGAUAACUGAUGGAAACGUCAGCUAAGACCGCAUAGGUGUAGAGAUCGCAUGAACUCUAUAUGAAAAGUGCUACGGGACUGGUAGAUGAUGGACUUAUGGCGCAUUAGCUGGUUGGUAGGGUAACAGCCUACCAAGGCGACGAUGCGUCGCCGACCUGAGAGGGUGACCGGCCACACUGGGACUGGGACACGGCCCAGACUCCUACGGGAGGCAGCAGUAGGGAAUUUUCGGCAAUGGGGGAAACCCUGGACGAGCAACGCCGCGUGAAGGAAGAAGUAAUUCGUUAUGUAAACUUCUGUCAUAGAGGAAGAACGGUGGAUAUAGGGAAUGAUAUCCAAGUGACGGUACUCUAUAAGAAAGCCACGGCUAACUACGUGCCAGCAGCCGCCGCGG
Molecule: ribosomal RNA, 498 nt
Filed under: uncultured bacterium
Lineage: Bacteria
Description: partial 16S ribosomal RNA
Rfam family: Bacterial small subunit ribosomal RNA
Source: RNAcentral